ACUUUUGCAGAUGUUGCGACUUACACAGCUCAUAUCCCAUCCUAUGCUGAUAUCUGGGGAUGGGUCAUGGCUUCAGAUUUUCCAUUAGAGCUGAAUGCAGAAGAGAUAUACCUAAGAAUGAGACAAAGGAUUAAGGGGGAAAAUAGAUAUCUGAAUGGCAAAACAUUCUCAUCAGCCUCAACAUUGAGCAAAGUUGUUCGCAAUUCGUUGGACAAUGAAACUCAUCUAUACACAGAGGAAGCUACAAAGUUCAUACAUGGCCAUGGCAAGCACGCUUAAUUAACCAAGCUUGACAACAAGUAUCACAACAUAUAAAGAAAACAAGUGAAAUCCCAUGUUAUGUUUUUCUUCGAUUUUUU
Arachis ipaensis is the source of this 359-nucleotide non-coding RNA. NCBI's taxonomy places the organism in Eukaryota, Viridiplantae, Streptophyta, Magnoliopsida, Fabales, Fabaceae. The record is from RefSeq and is a predicted model, not a curated record.